CCUACGGGGGGCAGCAGUGGGGAAUAUUGGACAAUGGGGGCAACCCUGAUCCAGCCAUGCCGCGUGAGUGAUGAAGGCCUUCGGGUUGUAAAGCUCUUUUGGCGGGGACGAUGAUGACGGUACCCGCAGAAUAAGCCCCGGCUAACUUCGUGCCAGCAGCCGCGGUAAGACGAAGGGGGCUAGCGUUGUUCGGAAUUACUGGGCGUAAAGCGAGUGUAGGUGGUUGUUCAAGUUGGAUGUGAAAGCCUUGAGCUCAACUCAAGAAAUGCAUUCAGGACUGAGCGACUAGAGGACCGGAGAGGAUAGUGGAAUUCCCAGUGUAGUGGUGAAAUACGUAGAGAUUGGGAAGAACACCAGUGGCGAAGGCGGCUAUCUGGACGGUUUCUGACACUAAGACUCGAAAGCGUGGGGAGCAAACAGGAUUAGAUACCCGAGUAGUC
Molecule: ribosomal RNA, 440 nt
Filed under: uncultured bacterium
Lineage: Bacteria
Description: bacterial SSU rRNA
Rfam family: Bacterial small subunit ribosomal RNA
Source: RNAcentral